AGCCAGACUCCUACGGGAGGCAGCAGUGGGGAAUAUUGCACAAUGGGGGAAACCCUGAUGCAGCGACGCCGCGUGAGUGAAGAGGUAUUUCGGUAUGUAAAGCUCUAUCAGCAGGGAAGAAAAUGACGGUACCUGAUUAAGAAGCCCCGGCUAACUACGUGCCAGCAGCCGCGGUAAUACGUAGGGGGCAAGCGUUAUCCGGAUUUACUGGGUGUAAAGGGAGCGUAGACGGUGAUGCAAGUCAGAAGUGAAAGCCCGGGGCUCAACUCCGGGACUGCUUUUGAAACUGUGUGACUGGAGUGCAGGAGAGGUAAGCGGAAUUCCUGGUGUAGCGGUGAAAUGCGUAGAUAUCAGGAGGAACACCAGUGGCGAAGGCGGCUUACUGGACUGUAACUGACGUUGAGGCUCGAAAGCGUGGGGAGCAAACAGGAUUAGAUACCCGAGUA
Molecule: ribosomal RNA, 446 nt
Filed under: uncultured bacterium
Lineage: Bacteria
Description: bacterial SSU rRNA
Rfam family: Bacterial small subunit ribosomal RNA
Source: RNAcentral